Molecule: ribosomal RNA, 465 nt
Filed under: uncultured Klebsiella sp.
Lineage: Bacteria; Pseudomonadati; Pseudomonadota; Gammaproteobacteria; Enterobacterales; Enterobacteriaceae
Description: bacterial SSU rRNA
Rfam family: Bacterial small subunit ribosomal RNA
Source: RNAcentral
CCUACGGGUGGCAGCAGUGGGGAAUAUUGCACAAUGGGCGCAAGCCUGAUGCAGCCAUGCCGCGUGUGUGAAGAAGGCCUUCGGGUUGUAAAGCACUUUCAGCGGGGAGGAAGGCGGUGAGGUUAAUAACCUCACCGAUUGACGUUACCCGCAGAAGAAGCACCGGCUAACUCCGUGCCAGCAGCCGCGGUAAUACGGAGGGUGCAAGCGUUAAUCGGAAUUACUGGGCGUAAAGCGCACGCAGGCGGUCUGUCAAGUCGGAUGUGAAAUCCCCGGGCUCAACCUGGGAACUGCAUUCGAAACUGGCAGGCUAGAGUCUUGUAGAGGGGGGUAGAAUUCCAGGUGUAGCGGUGAAAUGCGUAGAGAUCUGGAGGAAUACCGGUGGCGAAGGCGGCCCCCUGGACAAAGACUGACGCUCAGGUGUGAAAGCGUGGGGAGCAAACAGGAUUAGAUACCCUUGUAGUC